This is a long non-coding RNA of Drosophila miranda, 496 nucleotides long. RefSeq lists it as uncharacterized. The record is from RefSeq and is a predicted model, not a curated record. The transcript has 2 exons. NCBI's taxonomy places the organism in Eukaryota, Metazoa, Arthropoda, Insecta, Diptera, Drosophilidae.
AAUCUGACACAUUAAAAUUAUUAGACGAAUAAUUCAUCAACGCCUUUUGUUACGUACAUGGAAUUUUUGCUAAUAAAAACGAGAAAAAAGAGGAUAAAAGGAUAAAGUCACCCUUUUGACUUCAAGAAGAGAGCAGAAGUCUGACCGUCUGAUAAAAAACGUACUUAGCCCACUUAAACCCCCUUUAUUUAAACUGAUAAUAACUUGAACUAGACAAAAAAUAAUAUUUACUCUUGCAGGUUCUUCAUCUUUAUAUAAAAAAAGACCACGAUAUUUUUCACCUAAAGUGCUAUAAAAAUAUUUAAUCACGAAUCAUGCUGACUUAAUUCGACUUAAGAUUAGCUAAGACCUUCAGUCCUCAAAACAUAAUUUUAUCCGAUAGAUGAAUAAAUUUUCUAGAAGAUUAGCUAGCUUUAAAUGCUUAAUUUAAUUUUAUUGUGCCUAAAAUAAGGUUUGAGCAAAGAAGGUCAGAAAUAAAACGUAAUGAAAUGGACAG